UGUUCUCUUAUAAUGCUGUGUUUAUUAUAAUAAUAUUGUUUUACAGUAAUAUCUGUUUUGGCAGGUGGUUAACAUUUAAAAUGAAUGUUCAACCCAGUUAGCUUUGCAGUAUUUUCACAUUACAUAAAAGACAUAAUGCAGUCAAAGUUGUAUGUGUGUAUUUUUCAAAGCAAACAUGGCUGUAAUGAAAAAGUGUAAAUGUUUUGUACAGUGAAUUAUAAUGGCUGGGUUUUAUGGUUAUUGUAAUCUUAUUUAUUUUUUUAGCUAUUUCUGGUCAUGAUAUUAAACAGAUUGCUUUCCCACAUAUUUAAUGAGUACUUUUAUAUUUUAAUUUUGAAGGUUAAACUCUUGCCCCAAGGCAAAAUUUACAUUAAACAGAAGAUCCUAAGGAAUGUGUGCACAUCGGCUGCCAAAAAUGGAGCGAAAGGGAGAUGUUACCUCAUGAUGUAUGGACUUUUAGACAAGGUACCCUGCACAAGUUUGCCAGCUCAAGGGGAACAGGAGUGGGAAAACCGCACCCUGGUGAUGAGCAAAUACCUUUCCUUGGCCGACAAUCUGGAUUUGUUGAGAGAGAUCAUGCAGAAGCAGUACAAGGUCAAAUCUGUGCAAGUGCGAGAGAAGAUCCGCAGCCUACUGAAACCCAGCAAAUUAAAUAAACAGUUUUAAUAAAUGAUGGGAGUUCUAUACUAAAAACAGUACCCUGGUGCUCAUGUGUACAUAUUGUGACAUAAUAUCUUAAAAUAAUUCUGUGUCAAAUCAUGUUUAAAGAAUUUCCAUUGUUUCUUUUGUUUCUUGGCAUAUAGCUCGGUUGUUUUCGGAGAUAACCCGAGGUAUUGUCAUAGCCAGCACAUCAUGUCGUGUCGUCCGCUGUAGGCGUCCUGCUAAAACCUUAACAUUGGCUCUAAAAUCAAAAUGCUUCCAGGUCAAAGGUCAAGGUCACUGUGACCUCUAAAAAAAAUAUAUUCUGACAAGCUUUCAUUUAUUCUCAAAACUGCACCCGCAGCCGAGCGUUGGCACCCGUUAUGCAGUGCUCUUGUUACAAGGUUUGUGACUGUACAUUGCUGGACUUAUUUGUAUUUUUAUGGCUUUGAAUACACUUUUUGAGGGUA
Molecule: long non-coding RNA, 1109 nt
Organism: Dreissena polymorpha
Lineage: Eukaryota; Metazoa; Mollusca; Bivalvia; Myida; Dreissenidae
Exons: 2
Source: RefSeq, a predicted model, not a curated record